Molecule: ribosomal RNA, 635 nt
Filed under: uncultured bacterium
Lineage: Bacteria
Description: bacterial SSU rRNA
Rfam family: Bacterial small subunit ribosomal RNA (bases 1-539)
Source: RNAcentral
CCUACGGGAGGCAGCAGUGAGGAAUAUUGGACAAUGGUCGAAAGACUGAUCCAGCCAUGCCGCGUGCAGGAAGACGGCCCUAUGGGUUGUAAACUGCUUUUGUUUGGGAAGAAACCUUUCUACGUGUAGAAAGCUGGCGGUACCAUACGAAUAAGCACCGGCUAACUCCGUGCCAGCAGCCGCGGUAAUACGGAGGGUGCAAGCGUUAUCCGGAUUUAUUGGGUUUAAAGGGUCCGUAGGCGGACUUAUAAGUCAGUGGUGAAAUCCUGCAGCUCAACUGUAGAACUGCCAUUGAUACUGUAAGUCUUGAAUUCGGUUGAAGUGGGCGGAAUAUGGCAUGUAGCGGUGAAAUGCUUAGAUAUGCCAUAGAACACCGAUUGCGUAGGCAGCUCACUAAGCCUGGAUUGACGCUGAGGGACGAAAGCGUGGGUAGCGAACAGGAUUAGAUACCCUGGUAGUCCACGCCGUAAACGAUGAUUACUCGACAUUAGCGAUACACGGUUAGUGUCAUAGACGAAGACGAUUAAGUAAUACCGACCGUCGGGUAAGGUACGUUCGUUCGAAGAAGUUAGAAACGUACGAAGGAAGUUAGACGGCGUUGAGACGUUGCCGACGGACGACGACGAGGGAGGAGG